UAGGUGUUUAUUCGGAUAUUCCGUGCUAGGGCAAAACUCCAAUGGAGCGCAGCAAGCGAAGCGAGAAGGAGAAGAGCAGCAGUAGGUCGCGGCGAGAGCGCGAUAGGUCUAGGGAUGGCGACGCCGCCGAUCAUCGCGAGGAGAGCGGUAGAAGGGAGAAGAAAGAGCGAGAUCACGAUCGGAAUAAGGAGAAUUCGAAGGAUAAGGAGAAGGAGAGGGAUCGGGAGAGGGAUAGGGAUGAUCGGCGCAGGGACAGGGAUGCCGCCGAGGCGGGGGAGCACAAAUCCAGAAGGGAUAAGGAGAAAGAGAGGGAGAAGGGGGAGGAUUUCGACGGCGAUGAGCAGGAGAAAGAGGUAGCGGCGACGAAGGAGAUUGAGGAAUGGGUGAGGAAGUCGAGAAAGAUCGAAAAGAUUGAGAAGGUCAGGGCCAAGAAGGCAGUGCCGGCAAUUCGAUCGAUCGCUCAACAGGAUGAAGAGGUCGUGGAUGAAGAAGAUGACGAGGAGAGUGCGUAUAAAUCAAAGGAUCUAGCAGGAAUGAAGAUUCGACAUGGACUGGAGAAGAUAAUAGAAGGUGGUGAGGUAGUUCUUACUCUGAAAGACAGCAACAUCCUCGCUGAAGGAGAUAUAAACGAAGAUGCUGAUGAAUUGGAGAAUGUGAAUCUCACUGAGCAGACUGUGCGGAGCAAUGCAUAUCGUGAUGCCAAGAAAAAAAAGGGGACUUACGAAGACAAGUUUCAAAACGACAUCAAUACUGUGAAAUCGCUGUUACCUCAAUAUGACGAUGCUCCAAAGGACGAGGGAAUCCAACUUGACGAUUUGGGUGGAGUCAAUGAGGAGAGCCAGAAGCGUUUGGAGGAGGUCCGACUAAAGUUGCAAGGCGCAGCGCUGAAAAUGCAAUCGUUGCUGGGACCAGAAAACCAGGCAUCUGAUUUCUAUACCAAGGAAGAGAUGAUGAAGUUUAAGAAGCCGAGAAAACAAAAGAAAUUGAGGAAAAAAGACAUGCUGGACGUCGAUGCGCUUGAAGCCGAAGCAAAAGCUGCCGGUUUAGGUGCUGAUGAUCUCGGUUCAAGAGCAAAUAAUUCGAAGCCCAAACAAGAAGCUGAGGCGGAGGAAGAAGACGAGUUGUACAGUCGUUUGCAGAAGUCGCGUGAAUUGGCCAUUAGGCAGCGCAUACAGUCUACGCUCGGGCCUCAAGGAAUAGCUGCUCGUUUGAAACUGGAGGCUGCCGACGAAGAACAAUCAAUGGAUGUGGAUAGUAAGACUUCAGUGGCCGAGAAAACCGUCGUUAUCACGGAGACGGAGGAGUUCUGCUUGAGCCUACAACCUGAUGAAGUUAUCAGUCGAAGAGCUGCAACGAAUGAUGCCUUCGGAGAUGAUGAGGUGGAUGGACAAUCUGCGAUGGAAAUCCAUCAAGAAGAUGGGCGAACUGACACAAAGGUGAACGACGUCGUCGAAAAUGAAGACGAUGAUGUCUUCGACGAAUUGCCAAUCAAAGAAGUAUCCGUCGGGAAAGGAUUAGCGGGUGCCUUGAGUCUCCUCAAAGAAAGGGGGAGCCUGAAGGAAUCAGUGGAAUGGGGUGGCAGAAACAUGGACAAGAAGGCGAGCAAACUUGUCGGUGUUUUGGACGAUGACAAAACCUAUGAAAGGGAUAUCCAGUUAGAUCGGCGAGACGAGUAUGGCCGAACGUUGACUCCCAAAGAAGCCUUUCGCCUAGUCUCGCACAAAUUUCAUGGAAAAAAUCCUGGAAAGAGAAAGCAAGAAAAGAAGAUGAAGCAGCACGAGGAGGAGCUAAAGCAGAAGCAGAUGGCAGCCGGUGACACGCCUCUGAGGUCUAUGGAGAAAAUGCGUGAAGUACAAAUGAAGACGAGCACCCCCUACAUUGUUAUGAGCGGGCACAUAAAGCCGGGGCAAACGAGUGAUCCAAGGAGUGGUUUUGCAACCGUAGAGAAGGAACCGAUUGGCAGCCUUACACCAAUGCUUGGUGACAAAAAGGUGGAACAUUUCCUGGGAAUAAAACGCCCGGCCGGUGACAUGGGGCCUCCGCUUUCAAAGAAAAAGGCCAGGACGUAGAUCACAUCUGGUUAGUUUCGUACAGGCUCUUCAGAAAUGAAAGAAGUCUUGAAGGAUGGUAUGUCCUUGAGACAUUCUCCUUUACAUUCCAGAUGAGCUUGUAUCAUUUUGCUGAUCUUCUCUCCGUGAGGAGAGGGAGGCAUCCCCGCGCCACUCUCGGCCGUGUCAUUUGCUGGUUUAUCAUUUCCAUCAAGAUGUUGAGAGAUAAGCUCGUGUCGACUUUGUUGCAGGCCUCGGGAGGAGGCAGUGGUGGAUCCGAGACUUCGGCCGAGCCUUCGAGCAUCUUUACGACGUCAACCAUUGCAGGCCGCUGCCUGGGAUCCGGCUGAAUGCACCACACUCCGAUGCGAAGCAGCUUCUCGACUUGGACCUUUCUUGAGGUUGUUAACGAUCCAUGUGGCCAGGAACCUUGGGCUUGUCCCGCAAGACACACAGCUCCGAGUACGUGAAAUCACGCAGGCCGUCCUCAGCAGAUCCAGAUGGAAACGACUGCCCGUAGUGCUUGAGAGAGUACCACCACAAUCACUGGCUUGGCCCUUUUAUGCGUAGACAAGUAUUGAGGAAAGCUGCGCGAGAACGGAAGUUUAGCAUGAUGCACCUUAAGAGACAGUGACAACGCUGGACUGGCUGGGUUGUGCGUUCUGUUUAGAGCAAAGACUUCGCUCAUCUGGAAACAGGGCCCUGCACUUUACUGGAGUAACGUUGUGGAUGGUGUAUAAGUACCCAAAAGAUAUGCUGGCUCGCAUGGAGCUGUUCUCCUCCUCGAGCUCUAGACAGUCGCAUUGAUCUUCCCUGGGAAGCCAAGCAGGUCCACACGACGGAGGCAAGGUUUUUGCCGUGAACAGGGCGUUCAGACUGGUGGUGUUGCUGGUGUUACUGCUGUAUGACUGGGAGGUAAAUCGGAGCCCUCCAUCCGGAUACAGCUUGAGCAACUGGUAGCCGGAAAGGAUCGUAACCUUUGCGAAUCUGCAGGUUGCUGUUGGAGAGGACGACAGUAGAUAUAUCUUUACUGUCAGAGCUCCAAAGCUCUCCAUAUGCCGGGAGCGUGGAGUACAAAACUACCGAGGAGAGUUUUACCUCAAGAGAGAAGUAUCCUGGUUCCUUGUUCUCGUUCGUCUUUGUUGCCACUAACUUCAUCCCUGGUUUUAGGAUCUGGCCAGGGAGCAACGCGUCGGUGGGAUGAUCAAAGCUCUGCCACAGCAAAGAACCACUGUCCGUCUGGAUGACGAGAUUUCCAGAGCUCUCGAGGGUCAUCAUCUGCGCUCCAGCGUUUGCUGUCCCCGUCGACCACACAAAGCUGCCAUCAAAGUCGCGCAGCACCAAGUCGCCAUCGAUCGUGAAGUUGAGAUAGGCACCGAGACGAACAGGCCUUGGAGUAGCUCUCCACACCACUGUCGCGCCUUGGGACUGGCUAUCAGGAGACGAGAACGCAAGGUGUGCUAAACCCGAGCGUCAUGGGCUUCGCGAGAAAGCCGAUCGGACCCUUGAUAACUAUGUUGGAGAGGUAGCCGAUCCUCCAGAUCGUGUUGGGCAUCGCAUAGACAUCGUGUGGAGUGGCACGAAGUAAAGAGAACGAGAGGAGCAAGACGAUGAAGAUGAAGAGAAAAGGCUGCAUUAGGUGCUUGAAGACAACGAGCAAGCCUGGGAAAGAGGUGAUUGCAAGGGAUGGGUUGUAAGGUAGCGUGAAAUCGAUCGGCUCUAGCGCAUCGUGGUCUCAGGAGGACAAGAAUGGUUUCGUUCUUCUCGAGGCUGUAACGUUGUCCCCGAGAGUCUGACCGCGAGAGUAUAAGCCCUAAAGGGCGCCAAAAGCAUUUUUAAA
This is an RNA transcript of Selaginella moellendorffii, 3888 nucleotides long. It is a transcript of the gene named SART-1 family protein DOT2, with no coding region annotated. The transcript has 19 exons. NCBI's taxonomy places the organism in Eukaryota, Viridiplantae, Streptophyta, Lycopodiopsida, Selaginellales, Selaginellaceae. The record is from RefSeq and is a predicted model, not a curated record.